Non-coding RNA from Mycena maculata, 91 nucleotides. Lineage: Eukaryota; Fungi; Basidiomycota; Agaricomycetes; Agaricales; Mycenaceae. The record is from the annotation of a GenBank genome assembly.
GCUGCUGUAGCUCAACGGGACAUCACCCUUCGCAUGUGAUUCUGGAGUAAGACACUGUGGGGCGGCGUGGGUUCGACUCCCACCAGCGGCA